Molecule: ribosomal RNA, 443 nt
Filed under: uncultured bacterium
Lineage: Bacteria
Description: SSU rRNA
Rfam family: Bacterial small subunit ribosomal RNA
Source: RNAcentral
AGAACGAACGCUGGCGGCAUGCCUAACACAUGCAAGUCGAACGAGACCUUCGGGUCUAGUGGCGCACGGGUGCGUAACGCGUGGGAAUCUGCCCAAAGGUUCGGAAUAACUCAGGGAAACUUGAGCUAAUACCGGAUGAUGUCGCAAGACCAAAGAUUUAUUGCCUUUGGAUGAGCCCGCGUAGGAUUAGCUUGUUGGUGAGGUAAAGGCUCACCAAGGCUACGAUCCUUAGCUGGUCUGAGAGGAUGAUCAGCCACACUGGGACUGAGACACGGCCCAGACUCCUACGGGAGGCAGCAGUGGGGAAUAUUGGACAAUGGGCGAAAGCCUGAUCCAGCAAUGCCGCGUGAGUGAUGAAGGCCUAGGGUUGUAAAGCUCUUUACCCGGGAAGAUAAUGACUGUACCGGGAGAAUAAGCCCGGCUAACUCCGCGCCAGCAGCCGC